UCAAUUUCCUAAAUCAGUUAAUUAACACUUAACAGAGUAAAACGAAAAAAAUUAGAAAAGGGGAAUUUAGGGUUGUUACUUGUGGCUAUCGGACUUCUUCUUCCCUAGUGAGCUCACGCAGACGGCUGUGCGCGAGACAUCCUUCUCUUCUCCGGCGAACGGCGCGACGGCCUCUCACCGUCGAUUCACAAUCUGAUUCCAUUCCGCAUCCCCCCUAUCUUUCUUUAUUCCAUAUCGUCCUCGGUUCCUUCCUCUUCGCAGAUUUAAUCACCACUUCGGUCAACAAGAAAGAUGAUAAACACGUGAUCCAGACGCUCACCAAUCGGAGUAUCCAGUGCCUCUUCCAAAAUCAAUGAGAGAACUCGAGAAAACUUCUCUGGAAUUCAACGCGAUGAUGAGGUUGAUGAUGAAGAUCGAAUGGAAGAGUUUGUUGAUGAUGAAUUGCGAUUGGUUAUGCUGUUCGGUGAUGGAAUUUUAUUGCAGAUUUCUGAAGAUUGUAGGAUAUGUGAGGAAGAUGAUUGGUGAACGAAGUUGAUUCGAGAGUGCGGUAUUGAAUUCAGCCAAAUGAAUGAGAGAGUGAAGGUUGGUUAAGGAUUGAAGAUGUGUUUCCAUGGAGAUGAAGAAGAUGAAGGUUCUGUUAUUCUCAGUUUUUGUAUGUGGUCAAGAUUGAAGAAGAUGGAGGAGAAUUGAAGAUUGGUGAAGGUUCAAUCGAAGGUGAAGUUGAGGAAGUUUGUUACGUUUUUGCGAGAAGUUUUGUUAUCUGAUGAGGAUGAGCAGAGAGAAAGGUUGGAGUAGAUGGUGAUACGGUGAUGGAUGGUGAUGAAGAUUGAAGAUAGUGAAGAACAGUUCAGAGAAAGAGAGUUUCUUGGUUCAAAGUUUGUUACAUUUCGGUUAUCCGUUCCUUUUCUGAAUUUUCUCUGCUAUUUUCUGUUAUCUUUUCUUUCUCCCCCUGUUGCCGAUUUCUGUUAUGUAUUUCUUUGUCGUGAAGUUUCUGAAUCCCUUUCUUCUGCUAAUUUCUCUUAUUAAGAAAACUCUUUCCUGAAUUUUGUGAACUGGUUUUAUUUGGGCUGCAGGGCGGGAACCGAGCCGGUUUGGUUUUUAUUCUUCUGUGGCUGGUUCAGUUUUUUCCUUUUGUUCUCAGGGCUGCAACUUGGUGCGAUGCAGGGUUGGAAGCUGUUGAAUCGGUUUCCUUGUGUUGGAUGCAAGGCUGCAAGUUUUUUUUUUUGAAAUUUUUUUGUAUAACAUGAAUUAGGCUUGUGAUUAUAAUGAGCCUUUUUUCGUGUAAUUCAAAUUUUGGUAAUGAAUUGUAUGGGCUCUUGGUUUUUGUUGUAAUUUUUGGACAUUUGAAUGAUACUUGAACUUUGGAUGAAUAAUGAUGUAUAGAUUUUGAAAGAAUGAAUAAAUUGUUUUCAACAAAUUGUUAUUCAAUCCACACGACAAAUUUCCACCACUCAAAGUAAUCAUCCCUUCCAAACUGAUCUUUAAAUUCUCAUGAAGCUUCUUUUGAAUAUUGAACAAUGAAUCUUUUACUUCCACAAGCAAUUAGAUCAAGAUCAAUCAUGUAUCCAUUAUCUCCGAAGAAACAUACAAAUCUCAUGAAUGAUUAA
Molecule: long non-coding RNA, 1607 nt
Organism: Vicia villosa (hairy vetch)
Lineage: Eukaryota; Viridiplantae; Streptophyta; Magnoliopsida; Fabales; Fabaceae
Exons: 3
Source: RefSeq, a predicted model, not a curated record